This 727-nucleotide ribosomal RNA is filed under the name uncultured Bacillus sp. Its description in RNAcentral is "bacterial SSU rRNA". It matches the Rfam family "Bacterial small subunit ribosomal RNA", at positions 1 to 716 of the family's 1533-position model. The record is from RNAcentral. Lineage: Bacteria; Bacillati; Bacillota; Bacilli; Caryophanales; Bacillaceae.
UUCCACCCAAAUGGCCAGAACGCUGGCGGCGUGCCUCAUACAUUUCAGGUCGGAGCGGAGUUCAAGGAGCUUGCUCCUGUAACUUAGCAGGCGGACUGGGUGAGUAACACGUGGGCAACCUGCCUAAUAAAGACUGGGAUAACUUCGUGGAAACCGGAGCUAAUACCGGAUAAUUCUUUUCCUCUCAUGAGGAAAAGUUGAAAGACGGUUUACGCUGUCGCUUAUAGAUGGGCCCGCGGCGCAUUAGCUAGUUGGUGAGGUAACGGCUCACCAAGGCAACGAUGCGUAGCCGACCUUGAGAGGGUGAUCGGCCACACUGGGACUGAGACACGGCCCAGACUCCUACGGGAGGCAGCAGUAGGGAAUCUUCCGCAAUGGACGAAAGUCUGACGGAGCAACGCCGCGUGAGUGAUGAAGGUUUUCGGAUCGUAAAACUCUGUUGUUAGGGAAGAACAAGUAUGAGAGUAACUGCUCGUACCUUGACGGUACCUAACCAGAAAGCCACGGCUAACUACGUGCCAGCAGCCGCGGUAAUACGUAGGUGGCAAGCGUUGUCCGGAAUUAUUGGGCGUAAAGCGCGCGCAGGCGGUCUUUUAAGUCUGAUGUGAAAGCCCACGGCUCAACCGUGGAGGGUCAUUGGAAACUGGGAGACUUGAGUGCAGAAGAGAAGAGUGGAAUUCCACGUGUAGCGGUGAAAUGCGUAGAGAUGUGGAGGAACACCAGUGGC